GCGAGUCUUUGCAGUAAUGCAAGGCAUACGGCUCACUAACACGUAGUCAACUUACCCUAUGGACGAGGAUAAUCUCGGGAAACUGAGCAUAAUACUCGAUAGAUCAUAAUGCCUGGAAUGGUUUAUGGUUGAAAUGAUUCGUCGCCAUAGGAUGGGACUGCGGCCUAUCAGCUUGUUGGUGAGGUAAUGGCCCACCAAGGCGAUUACAGGUACGGGCUCUGAGAGGAGUAGCCCGGAGAUGGGUACUGAGACACGGACCCAGGCCCUAUGGGGCGCAGCAGGCGAGAAAACUUUGCAAUGUGCGAAAGCACGACAAGGUUAAUCCGAGUGAUUUCUGCUAAAGAAAUCUUUUGUUAGUCCUAGAAACACUAACGAAUAAGGGGUGGGCAAGUUCUGGUGUCAGCCGCCGCGGUAAAACCAGCACCUCAAGUGGUCAGGAUGAUUAUUGGGCCUAAAGCAUCCGUAGCCGGCUCUGUAAGUUUUCGGUUAAAUCUGUACGCUCAACGUACAGGCUGCCGGGAAUACUGCAGAGCUAGGGAGUGGGAGAGGUAGACGGUACUCGGUAGGAAGGGGUAAAAUCCUUUGAUCUAUCGAUGACCACCUGUGGCGAAGGCGGUCUACCAGAACACGUCCGACGGUGAGGGAUGAAAGCUGGGGGAGCAAACCGGAUUAGAUACCCGGGUAGUCCCAGCUGUAAACUAUGCAAACUCAGUGAUGCAUUGGCUU
RNAcentral lists this ribosomal RNA (726 nucleotides) under uncultured Candidatus Nitrosopumilus sp. Its description in RNAcentral is "bacterial SSU rRNA". It matches the Rfam family "Archaeal small subunit ribosomal RNA", at positions 53 to 785 of the family's 1478-position model. The record is from RNAcentral. Lineage: Archaea; Thermoproteati; Nitrososphaerota; Nitrososphaeria; Nitrosopumilales; Nitrosopumilaceae.